GAUGAAGAACGCAGCGAAAUGCGAUAAGUAAUGUGAAUUGCAGAAUUCAGUGAAUCAUCGAAUCUUUGAACGCACAUUGCGCCCCUUGGUAUUCCGAGGGGCAUGCCUGUUCGAGCGUCAUUAUAACCCUCAAGCUCAGCUUGGUGUUGGGGCCUGCUGCACUGGCAGCCCUUAAAAUCAGUGGCGGCGCCAUCUGGCUCUAAGCGUAGUAAUUCUUCUCGCUAUGGAGUCCUGGUGGAUGCUUGCCAUCAACCCCCAAUUUUUCUAUGGUUGACCUCGGAUCAGGUAGGGAUACCCGCUGAACUUAAGCAUAUCAAUAAGCGGAGAA
Molecule: unclassified non-coding RNA, 328 nt
Filed under: soil metagenome
Description: partial contains 5.8S ribosomal RNA, internal transcribed spacer 2, and large subunit ribosomal RNA
Rfam family: 5.8S ribosomal RNA (bases 1-120)
Source: RNAcentral